Molecule: ribosomal RNA, 253 nt
Filed under: uncultured bacterium
Lineage: Bacteria
Description: partial 16S ribosomal RNA
Rfam family: Bacterial small subunit ribosomal RNA
Source: RNAcentral
UACGGAGGGGGCUAGCGUUGUUCGGAAUUACUGGGCGUAAAGCGCACGUAGGCGGCUUUGCAAGUUAGAGGUGAAAGCCCGGGGCUCAACUCCGGAAUUGCCUUUAAAACUGCAUCGCUAGAAUUGUGGAGAGGUAAGUGGAAUUCCGAGUGUAGAGGUGAAAUUCGUAGAUAUCGGGAGGAACACCGGUGGCGAAGGCGACCCUCUGGACGGACACUGACGCUGAGACGCGAAAGCGUGGGUAGCAAACAGG